This is a long non-coding RNA of Hyla sarda, 326 nucleotides long. RefSeq lists it as uncharacterized. The transcript is spliced from 3 exons. NCBI's taxonomy places the organism in Eukaryota, Metazoa, Chordata, Amphibia, Anura, Hylidae. The record is from RefSeq and is a predicted model, not a curated record.
CAAAGCCUGCGGAUUAUCAUCAACAGAAUAUGAAGGGUAAUGGGUGAACAGGGCCAUGGAUAGGCCCAUGUGCUUGUAGGCUGGACUUGGGCUUGAGGUGAAUCACUGCUGGCAGCCUGCUGUAAUACACCUACAGCCAACACCAUAAAUGAACAAAAUACCCAAUACUAGAAUUGGAGUAAAAGUGGUCUGAUGAAGUAGACUCUGCCCUACGAAAAAUCUGUCAUACCGUUUCUGUGAACGCUCCCAUGCCUAUGCCUGCCGUGCCGAGGAAGCCGCGAUCUGCACUGUAAACACUACAUAAAGUUCAUGCAAUAAAGAUGAUC